UAGAGGGGUGUCUUUGGGGCGGCAUUGUCUAUGUUCCUUGGAACAGGACGUCACAGAGGGUGAGAAUCCCGUGCGAUGAUGCCUCAACCAGUACAAGACCCUCUCGACGAGUCGAGUUGUUUGGGAAUGCAGCUCUAAGUGGGUGGUAAAUUCCAUCUAAAGCUAAAUACUGGCGAGAGACCGAUAGCGAACAAGUACAGUGAUGGAAAGAUGAAAAGCACUUUGAAAAGAGAGUGAAACAGUACGUGAAAUUGUUGAAAGGGAAGGGUAGGAGGUGAGGGGAAGAGCUGCUUAGGCGCGGGAGAUAAACAAGCAGGAAGCGCUUCGGUGCGGCCUGGUAAAUAUCCCGUGCUUGUGUGGUUCUUCCGUAAUCCCCUUCUACCGC
RNAcentral lists this ribosomal RNA (385 nucleotides) under Wickerhamiella versatilis. RNAcentral describes it as "eukaryotic LSU rRNA". It matches the Rfam family "Eukaryotic large subunit ribosomal RNA", at positions 151 to 511 of the family's 3401-position model. Lineage: Eukaryota; Fungi; Ascomycota; Dipodascomycetes; Dipodascales; Trichomonascaceae. The record is from RNAcentral.